Molecule: microRNA, 21 nt
Filed under: Cordylochernes scorpioides
Lineage: Eukaryota; Metazoa; Arthropoda; Arachnida; Pseudoscorpiones; Chernetidae
Source: RNAcentral
GAGUAUUGCUUUAGUAAUGGC